UGCUGUUUUUCCAUACCCUGCUGGAUAGGAAGAGAGAUCUAAAUGCAGGCGCGUCCAGAAAACCAUGAUUAUUCGCCAGAGUGUGCAGCAUUAAGUCCAAACUAUAGCAGGAGCAGGACCUCCAUUUGAGAACAUGGGCAGUGCUGAAGAAAGUGAAGUUCAGAAUAUGUUUUCAAAAUAAACACACAGUUUACUCUCUCACCAUUUGAAUCCAAACGCUUGAUUUGGACACAAAACCCUAAAGUUAUUCAUCACAAUAUAUUUAGCAAGAAAAUUUUAUUUCCUUUUUUCUUUUCCCUUACAAAUUUCUCUGGUGGCCAAAAACAACGGGUAGGUCUUCCCCGUGUUUGUUACUUCAGAAAGCAGAAGGAUGAGACUGGUUGUUGGCGUCCAGAUUACUCAUGUUUACAUAAUUUGAC
Molecule: long non-coding RNA, 419 nt
Filed under: Theobroma cacao (cacao)
Lineage: Eukaryota; Viridiplantae; Streptophyta; Magnoliopsida; Malvales; Malvaceae
Description: long non-coding RNA (TCAC_LNC005054)
Source: RNAcentral